Equus quagga is the source of this 1176-nucleotide long non-coding RNA. RefSeq lists it as uncharacterized. NCBI's taxonomy places the organism in Eukaryota, Metazoa, Chordata, Mammalia, Perissodactyla, Equidae. The record is from RefSeq and is a predicted model, not a curated record. The transcript has 3 exons.
GUGAGGCCACGUGUGGAGUAGAAGAGUUCUAGCAGACGCUGCACUUUAAAAAAGACACUGAUAAGCCAGUGAAGGCUACCAGGCUGCUGGGGGUCAGCAAAAUUAAUCCUUGAAUGAGUGAAUGAAUAAUCCUUGAGGACACUGGGAAUGUUAGAAGAAAAUGUUCAAUCCACUUGGCUGUUAAAGCCAAAAUGACUUGUGAAAUGCUCACUGUUAUAAGAAGACUAGAAAUAAAGUAAAAAAAAAUCUAUAGGUGUGUGAUCCUCACAAAUGUAUUUCAGGAAACAAUCAUAGAUGUGUAUCAGAUCUUAUAGUUCAUCACUUGAAAAAAAUGGGUAGAUACAUUCUCUGUUGCCCUGGAGGCAGAGUUAUUGGAAGGCGCAGGGAAGCAGAUUUCAGUUUAAGAUGGGAAAGAACUUUCCUAUUAGUUCACUGCUAAAAUUGCUGCCUUGCGAAGAAAUGAACUUCUGAUCCCUGGAAUUGUUCUAACAGCUGUUUUAAAAUGUAGGUUUUAUUAUUAUUCAGGUAUGGUGAGCCGACAGAUCAAGAGAUGAUUGCCGUUGAAAAAGAUAAUUUCUUACAGUUCCCAAGAGAAGAGGGUACACCGCACCACACAGGGACACACAGGUGAAAAGGUGAAUUGAAAAAAGCACAAGGAAGAGCAGUAGAGUGACCCAGAGACAGUGGGCCAUUGGACACAUGGGCCUGUCAAUCUGAAAGUCAAGGCUGAGGAAGAAUAGUAUCCAAAUCUGUAAAAUCAUGGGAGACAUUCCAAGCAGAGGAGACGAUGUGCACAGGUGCUGGGCCUGGUCAGGGGACAGUGAGCCGUGAGAGAACAUUCUCAAUUAAUGAAGAGCUUUUAAAAAGGAAAAAGCUUGGAGACUCACGAUGAACUCCUGUCUUCCUCGUUUGUAGCGUGUCCUACCUUCUCUAACGACUGUCAGAGUGAAGGCUGGACUUUGAGCUCGCUCUUUUAGUGCUGAGGGUAUCGGGGAAGGGUAUCAUUAUUCUUAGAUGCAACGUCAGAGACUGCUGGUUGUCCCUCAAGAUCUGCUCUGUUUUACUCUUAUUUAGUAACAGAAUCUUCCAUUUUUAGCCAACCACAUGGCUAUAGGGAAGAAUGACAGUAUUUCCCAGCCUCAUUUGCAGCUAGGUACGACUGUGUUCCUAAGUUCU